Myzus persicae (green peach aphid) is the source of this 1064-nucleotide long non-coding RNA. RefSeq lists it as uncharacterized. The transcript is spliced from 2 exons. The record is from RefSeq and is a predicted model, not a curated record. Lineage: Eukaryota; Metazoa; Arthropoda; Insecta; Hemiptera; Aphididae.
AAUAACGAACCUGUUGUUAAACACGCUAUUUGGUAUUAAUGGUACAAUAAUUAAUAUGUAAUCGUAAUAUAAUAUGAGCAUUCCACAUAUUUUUUUGGUUUUUUUUUUGCACUGUCAGCCUACUCAUUUUUCAGUAGCAAAUAAAGAUAAUUAUGACGUUACUACUUCUUAGCAGUGCAAAGAUUAAAUCGACCAAUUUAUGACAUCGAGUUUACAAAUUUACAAGAGUACACGACGCCUGCAACUAUUGUCAAUAUCGGCACGAUAUCCUGGUAAAUAUCGAAUUAAAUUGUCGCCGAACGCCGAUCAAUAUUUUUUUAUUUUUAUAUUGCGUCUUCGCAUUUAGUAACCGUAUAUUAAAUAUUAAUGUGUUGUGCGCUCCUCAGUAGUCAGUCCCCACAAUAUAUUUAGCACCAAUAUAAUUUCUAUUUGUUGCGCAACGCUUAAAAUAGUAACAUUCAAAUCGAAAAUUGUUGUUUACUUUAAAUCAUAAAUAAGAGGAAAGAAAACAGCAGUAAAAUAAGUAAGUUUGUCGAAUGUCGUUACUUCAUGUUAAUUAUUCAAUUUAAUAAAGCAACCUAUCAUCAAACUACAUAAUGUUAUAGUUCAAAAGAAAUACUAAAAUUGGCAAGUUCAGUACAGCAAAAAUAAAAAUGCAUUAAAUCCCCGAUCCCUCCUUAUUUUCUUUUUACCUAAGUAUAAAAUGUUAUCUUCGAUCAGCCCUACUUAGUUCGCAUGUACUGUGAAGGUAUCAGUAAAUACUAAACGAUCACAACUCGCUAGUCACAACUUUACUCUCAACUAUAAAUAAGAAGUGUGCACUGCAGUCGUCUGUAGUGUUUAUAGCCAGUAGUCACCACACACUGUCACGGUUAGAGUUAUAGUUAGGAGUUAGAAGUUAGAAGUUAGAAGUUGUCGGACCGACCUUAUCUCCGAAGACCGCGGUUGCGGUGGGGUCUGUCUAUACGCAGUCGAUUAGACCACCACCGUCGUUAUCAUUUUGUUAUUAUCAAAAACAAAGUUGUUAUCAUAUCGUAUCAUCCAUUAUAAUAAAUACAUACAUU